Molecule: ribosomal RNA, 253 nt
Filed under: uncultured bacterium
Lineage: Bacteria
Description: partial 16S ribosomal RNA
Rfam family: Bacterial small subunit ribosomal RNA
Source: RNAcentral
UACAGAGGUCCCAAGCGUUGUUCGGAUUCACUGGGCGUAAAGGGUGCGUAGGUGGUCGGGUAAGUCUGACGUGAAAUCCCGCAGCUCAACUGCGGAACUGCGUCGGAUACUAUUCGGCUUGAGGAAUGGAGGGGAGACUGGAAUUCUCGGUGUAGCAGUGAAAUGCGUAGAUAUCGAGAGGAACACCAGUGGCGAAGGCGAGUCUCUGGACAUUUCCUGACGCUGAGGCACGAAAGCCAGGGGAGCAAACGGG